This 497-nucleotide ribosomal RNA is filed under the name uncultured bacterium. RNAcentral describes it as "partial 16S ribosomal RNA". It matches the Rfam family "Bacterial small subunit ribosomal RNA", at positions 28 to 507 of the family's 1533-position model. The record is from RNAcentral.
GAUGAACGCUGGCGGCGUGCCUAAUACAUGCAAGUCGAGCGAACGGACGAGAAGCUUGCUUCUCUGAUGUUAGCGGCGGACGGGUGAGUAACACGUGGAUAACCUACCUAUAAGACUGGGAUAACUUCGGGAAACCGGAGCUAGUACCGGAUAAUAUUUUGAACCGCAUGGUUCAAAAGUGAAAGACGGUCUUGCUGUCACUUAUAGAUGGAUCCGCGCUGCAUUAGCUAGUUGGUAAGGUAACGGCUUACCAAGGCAACGAUGCAUAGCCGACCUGAGAGGGUGAUCGGCCAGACUGGAACUGAGACACGGUCCAGACUCCUACGGGAGGCAGCAGUAGGGAAUCUUCCGCAAUGGGCGAAAGCCUGACGGAGCAACGCCGCGUGAGUGAUGAAGGUCUUCGGAUCGUAAAACUCUGUUAUUAGGGAAGAACAUAUGUGUAAGUAACUGUGAACAUCUUGACGGUACCUAAUCAGAAAGCCACGGCUAACUACGUG